This 1251-nucleotide ribosomal RNA is filed under the name Triticum aestivum (bread wheat). Its description in RNAcentral is "partial small subunit ribosomal RNA". The record is from RNAcentral. Lineage: Eukaryota; Viridiplantae; Streptophyta; Magnoliopsida; Poales; Poaceae.
AUGACCUGCGGCGGCCUCCCAAGCUCGACGGCGCCGGCGCCGAUGCCGACGGUGGCGGCCCCGCUGGAGGACGAGAACCUCCUCCCGGAGAUCCUCGUCCGCCUAGCCCGGCUGCCGUCCGCCCUCCCGCGCGCCUCCCUCGUCUGCAAGCGCUGGCGCCUCCUCGUCUCCGACCGACGCUUCGUCCGCCGCUUCCGCGCCCACCACCUCCGCAGUCCCCCUCCCCUGAUCGGAUUCUUCGAGGAGGUCACCCGCGAGCCCUCCCCGGACUCACCCAGCAGCCUCUUCUUCACCCCGAUCCUGGAUCCCCCCAACCGCGUCCCGGUCAGCCGCUUCUCCCUGAGCUUCCGCAACGGCGACGGCCGCACGAUCCUCGGCUGCCGCGACGGUCUCGUGCUCCUCGUCGACGCGGGGGGUGCCGAGAUCGAGGUCCUGGUGUGGGACCCCAUCACCGGCGACCAGCACCGCUUCGUCGUCCCUCCGGCGAUCGACGAGCGCCAGGUCAUCGAGAUCUUAAACGGCGCGGUUCUCCGCACCGCCGGGAUCCUCGACGACCGCCCAUUCCGGUUCCAUGUGGUCUUGGCGGGCAUCGACAGGCCAAACAAGCGGCUGUUCGCCUGCGUUUACUCGUCGGAGGCCGGCAAAUGGGGUGAUCCAAUCUGGGUAUCCGUGGAUUCCGAGAGCGACGUUCGCACCACGGUUUCGAUGCGUGUUUCGAGUACCCUGGUUGGGAAUUCCCUCUACUGGUCGCUGAAUGGGGAUACUGCUGCCAUCCUUCAGUUUGAUUUGGGCACACAACGCCUGGCUGUGAUACCUCUGCCACUGGAUAAGUGCAGCGAUGGCAGCCGCUCCUUCCGGGCUAUGCCCGUGGACGGUGGCGGGCUUGGCAUCCUUGAGCUGUUGGAUUUCAACAUCCAAUUGUGGAAAAGGGAGAUCGACCGUGACGGUGUUGUUUCAUGGGUGCUGGGGAAAACUAUUGAAUUGGAUCAGCUUCUUUCCCUGGACAAGAGGGGAAUGAGUCCAAUGAUGCUGGGGUAUUGCGAGGUCAAUAAUGUGGUGUUCCUAAGGACAGUAUUCAGUAUUUUCUUGGUCCAGCUUGAGUCAUUGAAGUUCAACAAGCCGCCCAUACAGGCAUCUUACUUCUUGGUUCAUCCAUUCACAAGUGUUUAUACUGCAGACAUGGGCAUUGGUGGUGGACCUGAUGAAGCCAAACUUCUGUGUAAUGCAAUGCAUAAGGUGACUGUAUUGUGA